This is a non-coding RNA of Pelobates cultripes (western spadefoot toad), 268 nucleotides long. Lineage: Eukaryota; Metazoa; Chordata; Amphibia; Anura; Pelobatidae. The record is from the annotation of a GenBank genome assembly.
CUGGUAGUUAGGAUAGCCUAAUGCCAAUCCCACGCAUGCUUAAACUGUGAGAAAGUGCUAUUAGUGAUCAGUAAUGAUGGCAUAGCGUCACUGCGAGAAGGUGAGUGCUAUAAGUGGUUGUAUGGAUGGUAUAGGCUCACUGCGAGAAGGUAAGUGCUAUAAGUGAUCGGUAUGGAUGGUAUAGGGUCACUGUGAGAACGCAAGUGCUAUAAUUGAUCGGUAUGGCUGGUCUAGGGUCACUGUGAGAAGGUAACAUAGAAACCUCACC